GGUGGCUGGAGGUGACCCAAUCCACCCAGAGAGUGGGGCUCCCAUGAAUCAACUGGAGGGAUGUGCAAGGGACUUCUAUUGAUGGCAGAAGCAUCACCAGUGCCAUUUACUUCUGUUUUUCUUCAUGCAGAACAAUGGCAGGGAAGGAUUCUCCCUUCUCUCAAAGACCUACUUGGGAUGGCAGGACACAGUGUGAGGCUGCGGACAAGAUCACCAGUGUCCAGCACUUUCUCAUCACAGCAUGUUGGGGGUCUCUGGCUGCAGAGAGCUUGACGUCAUAGUUAGGACAUUUUUUGGUGGCAAGGAACAGAGGCCAAUUCAAGGUAGCCAGUGUCCUGUCUCCACAUGUCCAAGAUGGGCAUGCAACUCACAUUAGACCAAAUUGAAACCGGUCACCAGAAUUCCUCACACUGUUUGGGAGUGAAAGACCUUUUGUUCUCUCUUCUGGCAAACCUAUGAAGAUAAUAAAGUGAAGAGAGGUUGAUGCUUGCCCAUGGAAGUGCAGUAGUAGAAAAUGGUAUGCUAGAGGCUUGCAUUCAGUGUACAUGGGAAUCC
RNAcentral lists this long non-coding RNA (555 nucleotides) under Homo sapiens (human). RNAcentral describes it as "HSALNT0121686". The record is from RNAcentral. Lineage: Eukaryota; Metazoa; Chordata; Mammalia; Primates; Hominidae.